UGGUGAAGCAAAAAAGAUCAUGUAUUGCAAGGAGUUGCUGUACACUGCAAGGGCACUGAUCACUUCCAGCCCAGUAUCCGGGAUGCAGCAAUGCAUGCUGGGGCACAACUUCAAAAGCACGAGGCAGUCAGCCUUCUAAGUAAUUCAGCCAAGAUGGUGAUCGUUCAUAUACAAGUUGGCAAAAAUAAGAAGCUUCUUUUUUUAAAUGGUUGCC
Long non-coding RNA from Carcharodon carcharias (great white shark), 214 nucleotides. RefSeq lists it as uncharacterized. NCBI's taxonomy places the organism in Eukaryota, Metazoa, Chordata, Chondrichthyes, Lamniformes, Lamnidae. The transcript is spliced from 3 exons. The record is from RefSeq and is a predicted model, not a curated record.